RNAcentral lists this ribosomal RNA (130 nucleotides) under Trichoderma lixii. Its description in RNAcentral is "5.8S ribosomal RNA". It matches the Rfam family "5.8S ribosomal RNA", at positions 1 to 129 of the family's 154-position model. From Rfam's summary of the family: 5.8S ribosomal RNA (5.8S rRNA) is a component of the large subunit of the eukaryotic ribosome. It is transcribed by RNA polymerase I as part of the 45S precursor that also contains 18S and 28S rRNA. Functionally, it is thought that 5.8S rRNA may be involved in ribosome translocation. RNAcentral also lists the same sequence under 1 other name. The record is from RNAcentral. Lineage: Eukaryota; Fungi; Ascomycota; Sordariomycetes; Hypocreales; Hypocreaceae.
AAACUUUCAACAACGGAUCUCUUGGUUCUGGCAUCGAUGAAGAACGCAGCGAAAUGCGAUAAGUAAUGUGAAUUGCAGAAUUCAGUGAAUCAUCGAAUCUUUGAACGCACAUUGCGCCCGCCAGUAUUCU